GGCCUGGAUGAGACCCAUCCUGGCAAGAUCUGGGCUGGACCACGUCAGGCCCAAAGAAGGAAGAUGGAGGCUGGAGGAGGGGACAGGGCCUGUGUCGGUCAGCGGAGGAUCGAGACAGACCACUUCUGCCUCCCACCUGGCAGACCCAGGAGGGCCGGGGGUUCUGGGGGGCGGGGGGCGGGGUGGUCUGGGCUGCAGGUGUGUUGUGGCCUGGCUCCCACCCCAGAAGUAAAUCGCUUCAUUUCCCUGUUUCCUCCCAUCCACCGAGGUUUGUUGGCAUCCUCGUAUUUACUCGGAGCAUUUUGUUCUGUAACUGGAGAAGGAGAGGGACUGUCUGUUGGGAGUAGUUCCAAGAAGAGGAGGAGUAAGGAGGGGACAGGCCCUCCUCCCUGGCUCCCUGGCCUGCACUUGGGGCCACGGGUUAGAGGCUGCAGCCACGAGCAGGACCAGCUCUUGCCACAAAGAAGUGUAGGUCCCUUGAUUCAUCCGGAAGAGGAAUUCUUCCAGAAGGAGAAUAUUCAUCUAGGAUGGGGCAGAAUUGGGAGAUAAGAGGUGCUGUGGGCUUUAUCAGCAGCCUGGGAGACGGGGGACAUGGAGGAUCACAGCGGCAGAUCUUAAAUCAAAGCCCGGGCCAUCCAUCUUCCAGAACAGACGGAAAUAACUAGGUGGGUGGCACAGACCGCCACCGCAUGGACAGCGAGAGAUUAGAAAGCUGGAAUCUUGAGCCCCUAAGUCCCUUCACCAAUUUCCCCAAACCCCAGGGACCUGCCUGCUGAAGGGAGAACUCAUUUUAGACUUAGCCCAGGAGGGUCCGUGGGCUCGAUUGCAGAAAAUUCCUCUGUCUGGGGGCUUCUGAAGGCCCUUCCCCCACCACUGUUCUCUUAGCCCCCUUGCCCAUAGUUUCUCCUUGCAGGCACCCUCACGAGAGUCAGGCUGGCAGUGGUGGGGUAGCCGAGUGGUUAGUGGGUGUGCCAGACCGAUGGCUCAAAUCCUGGCUCCACUGCUCACCAGCUCUGCAAAGCUGGGCAAGCUGCAAAGAGACGGUUUGGCUCUCAGUUUCCUCAUCUAUAAAGCAGGAAGGAGGGGUUCCCGUCGUGGCUCAGUGGAAACGAAUCUGACUGGCAACCAGGAGGACACAGGUUCGAUCCCUGGUCUUGCUCAGUGGGUUAAGGAUCUGGCGUAGCCCUGAGCUGUGGUGUAGGUCACAGAUGCGGCUCAGAUCUGGUGUGGCUGUGGCUGUGGUGUAGGCCGGCAGCUGUAGCUCUGAUUCGACCCCUAGCCUGGGAACUUCCAUAUGCUGUGAGUGUGGCCCUAAAAAAAAAAAAAAGAAAAGAAAAGAAAUCUCCAAACAGGAACGAUAUACCAGCUUCAGAGGGUUGUUUGGAGGAUUAAACAAAAUCAUGCACACAAAGCAAAGGGCAAGAUGUCUGACACAGGGUAAGACCUCAAACAUUAACCAUGAAUGUUAAUCUUCUUGUUAUCCCGCAGGUGAGCUCCAUCCAGCUAGCUGCUGCUGCUCCCCACAGGCUCUCCUGCUCUUUUGCCUUUUUAC
RNAcentral lists this long non-coding RNA (1552 nucleotides) under Sus scrofa (pig). RNAcentral's name for it is "lncRNA (ENSSSCG00065074130.1)". The record is from RNAcentral. Lineage: Eukaryota; Metazoa; Chordata; Mammalia; Artiodactyla; Suidae.